RNAcentral lists this unclassified non-coding RNA (348 nucleotides) under soil metagenome. RNAcentral's name for it is "partial contains 5.8S ribosomal RNA, internal transcribed spacer 2, and large subunit ribosomal RNA". The stretch from base 1 to 120 matches the Rfam family "5.8S ribosomal RNA", at positions 35 to 154 of the family's 154-position model. The record is from RNAcentral.
GAUGAAGAACGUAGCGAAAUGCGAUACGUAAUGUGAAUUGCAGAAUUCAGUGAAUCAUCGAAUCUUUGAACGCACAUUGCGCCCGCCAGUAUUCUGGCGGGCAUGCCUGUCCGAGCGUCAUUUCAACCCUCGAACCCCUCCGGGGGGUCGGCGUUGGGGAUCGGCACUUACCUGCCGGCCCCGAAAUACAGUGGCGGUCUCGCCGCAGCCUCUCCUGCGCAGUAGUUUGCACACUCGCACCGGGAGCGCGGCGCGUCCACGGCCGUAAAACAACCCAAACUUCUGAAAUGUCGACCUCGGAUCAGGUAGGAAUACCCGCUGAACUUAAGCAUAUCAAUAAGCGGAGGA